GACGAACGCUGGCGGCGUGCUUAACACAUGCAAGUCGAACGGAAAGGCCCUGCUUUUGUGGGGUGCUCGAGUGGCGAACGGGUGAGUAACAAGUGAGUAACCUGCCUUUGACUUUGGGAUAACUUCAGGAAACUGGGGAUAAUACCGGCUAGGAGCUCGUGCUGCAUGGUGGGGGUUGGAUAGUUUCGGCGGUUGGGGAUGGACUCGCGGUUUAUUAGCUUUUUGGUGGGUUAGUGGCUUACCAAGGCUUUGACGGGUCGCCGGCCUGUGAACGUGAACGGCCACAUUAGGACUGCGGUACGGCCCAGACUCCUACGGGAGGCAGUGGUGGAGAGUAUUACGCAGUGGCGGGAAGCCAGAUGCAGCAACGCCGCGUGCGGGAUGACGGCCUGCGAGUUGAGAACCGCUUUCGCCUGUGACGAAGCGUAAGUGACGGUACUGGGUAAGGAAGCACCGGCUAACUACGUG
Molecule: ribosomal RNA, 468 nt
Filed under: uncultured bacterium
Lineage: Bacteria
Description: partial 16S ribosomal RNA
Rfam family: Bacterial small subunit ribosomal RNA
Source: RNAcentral